Molecule: small RNA, 1917 nt
Filed under: Pan troglodytes (chimpanzee)
Lineage: Eukaryota; Metazoa; Chordata; Mammalia; Primates; Hominidae
Description: retained intron
Source: RNAcentral
CCGGGGGCCGAGCUGGCUGCGCCCUCCACUGCAAGCGCCGGCAGCGCGGGGCGAGCUCCGGACGGCGCGCGGCCCAGGCAGCGGCUCCCGCUCGGCCCGCCCUCCGAGCCGCAGGGGCCGCCACCGCCGCGGCGCCUCCCCUGGCGACCGCGCCCCCGGGCCCCGGCUCCGGCCCGGGACGGAGGAGCCGGCGCUCGACACAGAGAGCUCUUCAGAACCCAGGCUGCUUUCAGGAACAUUGCUGUGGAUUCCCAGGGCCUAUUCCACUAGAAGCAAGAUGGCUGAACUCAAUACUCAUGUGAAUGUCAAGGAAAAGGUAAGAUCAAGUUAUACGUUGGCUCACAGAAACUCCAAACUAGGUAAUGCAGUUCCUAGCAGGUAAAAACUCAAUUACAGUGGAGAAAGGGAAAAUGGUUUUGGGGGAUACGUAGUAAGUUUGCCACAACAGUAAACUGUUCAGCAGAAAGAAUCAUAAGUAACGUUUACUGAAAGCAUGUUAAGCAUAUGACACUCAUUUUUUCAUUUACUCUUGACCAUCACCCCAUAAAGAAGAUACUGUUGUUAUUUCCAUUUUACAGAGGUGGAAGUUGAGAAACAGAGAAGUAAUUUGGCUAAGUUAACGUAGCUGGUAAACAGCAGAGCUGGGUUUUGAACCAAUGCAGUGUGCCAUUCCACAGUUCAUACUCUUCACCCCCAGGCUGGGUUACAUCUAAGAGCAAGGGUAUUAUAUUACCUCUUCAGAAAUGGACUCAGAGAGAGACAUCCAGUCUAUCACCUGGUGGUCAUGCUGGGCAGCCUUUGAAGUUUCUUUCAACGCUGAGAGUUCAUGACUCUGAAAAUCACCACUUCUCAUGAUUUGUUGGAGACUGAUUCCACUUCAGAGCUCUUUCCAAGUCUAUGCUGCGUCCUCCACUGAGGGCCAGAAUCCCUCACUUGCCACAUAUGCUGCCUUGUAAUGUUAGCUCUUAAGGAUCAUAAACCAUAGACCAUGAAGAUAAAUUUGUCCAACCCAUUUGUCUGACACCAUAGGAACUGAGGCCCUAGCACUGGUUUGCUAGUGGUUGUAUAGGCAAGUGGGAGAGCCUGGACAGGAGCCCAAGCCACCACAGUGCUGGUGCACCUUCCACAGCAUCACCCCAUAGCCUUCUCUGGACUGUAAACCAUGUGAAGGCAGGAGUUUGUCUUUCAUCUCUUUGUAUCCUCACCAUACCAAAAAUACAGAGUGAAGGAUGAGAGAAGUGACAUUUGUGAAGCCAUUACUAUUUUUUCUUUCACUUAGCAACAGGGUAAUAGACCCAAACACCACUCUAGAUGCCUGGGGUAUGGCCCUGAACAUGUAGAUGAAGUUCCUGCUCCCAUGGAGCUCACACUUUAGGGCAGGGAAGCAGAGAAUAAACACAAGAAUAUCUAAAUGAACACAGUUGUUCCAGGCGGUGAUAACAACUGUGGAGAAAACAGCAGGGCAGUGUGAUGAAGGCAAGGGGAGGUGGCUCCUCUGUGUGGGGUGGUCAGGGAAGCCCUUUGGAGGAGGUGACAUUUGAUUGAGAUAAAGAUGGGGAAAUAAACGACCAUACAAAGAUCUGAGGACAGAGAAUUCCAGACAGAGAGAAAAGCAAAGCAGAUGCCUAAGGUUGACUAAGUUGAAUGUGUUUGAUGAGCAGGUGGUCAGUGUGGUCCAGGUGUGGUAGACAAAGGUGAUUGGUGAUGGGAGAUGAAGUCCAAGAAUACCACUUAGAAUCCUGGCUCUCUACCCAGGUCCGUGGAUCUCCAAGGGAUCGCGGUUAGAAUCCAUGGGUCCAUGAAUGUAGAUGAGAACAAAUACAUUUUUAUCUUCACUAACAUCUAAAUGAAAUUUACCGUUUCCUCCAGUCAUGAAUGUAGGCAAAGGCAAAAAAAAAAAAAAAAAAAAAAAAAAAA